Long non-coding RNA from Neltuma alba, 559 nucleotides. RefSeq lists it as uncharacterized. NCBI's taxonomy places the organism in Eukaryota, Viridiplantae, Streptophyta, Magnoliopsida, Fabales, Fabaceae. The transcript is spliced from 2 exons. The record is from RefSeq and is a predicted model, not a curated record.
UUUCUCACAAUUUCUUUGCUUUUGAUUUUUAUUUUUCGGUAGAGUAGAGACUAUAAAUAAGUGAUAGAGCAGCGAAGUGUGAGCAUACAAAAUUACUGGAGUGCAUUGUGCCCUCUCUUUCACUCUCUACACUCUCACAAUGAAGAAGGCUAUUCUCAUUGCUUUUAUUAUUCUGGUUUCCGUAUUUCUCUGCCUUCCCUCUUCCACUCAUGCUCGAGCAUUAUCAGAAAGGGUAGAGUCAGUUACUGGGGGAGCACCAAUAAGAAAUAAGCCAGCAGUUCCAUGUUCUCCUGGUAAAAGAUAUACUUCUUGCAUGCCAAAGACGAAGCCUCCGAGCCCUCCAUGCUCAAUCUAUGUCCGAGGCUGUUCACCACCUGGGAAUUAGAUAUAACAACAAUGAAUAAUUAGAUAUGAUGAUAAUUAUGUUUCUUAUAUUUUCUAGCUAGCAGGGAACGUAUGUAAUAAUUGUAUUUAAAACUUUUAGGUACUGUUUAAUUUCUGGGUUGUGUGUAUAUGUUUGUUGCAGCUUUUGAUUUCACUUGUCUCUUUUGAAGAAUAA